This 271-nucleotide ribosomal RNA is filed under the name uncultured bacterium. RNAcentral's name for it is "partial 16S ribosomal RNA". It matches the Rfam family "Bacterial small subunit ribosomal RNA", at positions 524 to 794 of the family's 1533-position model. The record is from RNAcentral.
GACGUAGGGUGCAAGCGUUGUCCGGAUUUACUGGGCGUAAAGAGCGCGUAGGCGGCUCGUUAAGUGAGGAGUGAAAGCUCCGGGCUCAACCCGGAAACCGCUUUUCAUACUGGCGAGCUAGAGUGAUGCAGAGGUGGAUGGAAUUCCCGGUGUAGCGGUGAAAUGCGUUGAUAUCGGGAGGAACACCCAUGGCGAAGGCAGUCCACUGGGCAUCAACUGACGCUGAGGCGCGAAAGCGUGGGUAGCAAACAGGAUUAGAUACCCCAGUAGU